AACGAACGCUGGCGGCAGGCUUAACACAUGCAAGUCGAACGCCCCGCAAGGGGGAGUGGCAGACGGGUGGGUAACGCGUGGGAAUCUACCCAGAUCUUCGGAACAACUGAGGGAAACUUCAGCUAAUACCGGAUACGCCCUACGGGGAAGAUUAUCGGAUCUGGAUGAGCCCGCGUUGGAUUAGCUAGUUGGUGGGGUAAUGGCCUACCAAGGCGACGAUCCAUAGCUGGUCUGAGAGGACGACCAGCCACACUGGGACUGAGACACGGCCCAGACUCCUACGGGAGGCAGCAGUGGGGAAUUUUGGACAAUGGGCGAAAGCCUGAUCCAGCCAUGCCGCGUGCAGGAUGAAGGCCUUCGGUU
RNAcentral lists this ribosomal RNA (363 nucleotides) under uncultured bacterium. RNAcentral's name for it is "bacterial SSU rRNA". It matches the Rfam family "Bacterial small subunit ribosomal RNA", at positions 29 to 423 of the family's 1533-position model. The record is from RNAcentral.